CGGGGGCCCGCACAAGCGGUGGAGCAUGUGGUUUAAUUCGAUGCAACGCGAAGAACCUUACCUGGUCUUGACAUCCACGGAAGUUUUCAGAGAUGAGAAUGUGCCUUCGGGAACCGUGAGACAGGUGCUGCAUGGCUGUCGUCAGCUCGUGUUGUGAAAUGUUGGGUUAAGUCCCGCAACGAGCGCAACCCUUAUCCUUUGUUGCCAGCGGUCCGGCCGGGAACUCAAAGGAGACUGCCAGUGAUAAACUGGAGGAAGGUGGGGAUGACGUCAAGUCAUCAUGGCCCUUACGACCAGGGCUACACACGUGCUACAAUGGCGCAUACAAAGAGAAGCGACCUCGCGAGAGCAAGCGGACCUCAUAAAGUGCGUCGUAGUCCGGAUUGGAGUCUGCAACUCGACUCCAUGAAGUCGGAAUCGCUAGUAAUCGUGGAUCAGAAUGCCACGGUGAAUACGUUCCCGGGCCUUGUACACACCGCCCGUCACACCAUGGGAGUGGGUUGCAAAAGAAGUAGGUAGCUUAACCUUCGGGAGGGCGCUUACCACUUUGUGAUUCAUGACUGGGGUGAAGUCGUAACAAGGUAACCGUAGGGGAACCUGCGGUUGGAUCACCUC
RNAcentral lists this ribosomal RNA (615 nucleotides) under Enterococcus faecalis. RNAcentral's name for it is "bacterial SSU rRNA". It matches the Rfam family "Bacterial small subunit ribosomal RNA", at positions 914 to 1529 of the family's 1533-position model. Lineage: Bacteria; Bacillati; Bacillota; Bacilli; Lactobacillales; Enterococcaceae. The record is from RNAcentral.